RNAcentral lists this ribosomal RNA (483 nucleotides) under uncultured bacterium. RNAcentral's name for it is "partial 16S ribosomal RNA". It matches the Rfam family "Bacterial small subunit ribosomal RNA", at positions 46 to 523 of the family's 1533-position model. The record is from RNAcentral.
GCUUAACACAUGCAAGUCGAGCGAGAAUCGUUUUGCUGAAGGCUUCGGUCCGAUGCAGAAUGAGGAAAGCGGCGAACGGGUGAGUAACGCGUGGGCAACCUGGCCUUAAGAAAAGGAUAGCCCCCGGAAACGGGGAGUAAUACUUUAUGAGAAUGAAAGAGGGCAUCCUACUUUCAUUCAAAGCGCAAGCGCUUAAGGAUGGGCCCGCGUAUCAUUAGCUAGUUGGUGAGAUAACAGCCCACCAAGGCAACGAUGAUUAGCCGGGCUGAGAGGGCGAACGGCCACAUUGGAACGGAGAGACGGUCCAAACUCCUACGGGAAGCAGCAGUGGGGAAUAUUGCGCAAUGGAGAAGAACUCUGACGCAGCAAUACCGCGUGAGCGAAGAAGGUCUUCGGAUCGUAAAGCUCUGUUAUCAGGGAAGAAGAAAAUGACGGUACCUGAUGAGCAAGUCCCGGCUAACUACGUGCCAGCAGCCGCAGUAA